AGUAGUCCUUUAUAUGUUGGAUAUGUUGCAGUAUAUCCUAGAUACAAUAUAUGUUUGCAGAACCGAACAGUUCUCUUGUUGCAUAGGGAGAAUUGGAUUUAGAAGGUAUAAAUAACCCGGGAAGAAAAACUAAAAUGCAGAUAGUUUACAUUCGUUUCCCAGUGUUCGUUCUUUGGGUGUAGCUGCUUAUGUCCGUCAUUUAUCAAUUGAAACUUAGUUAGGUCUCUUUGUCAAAGAAAUCCACUUCCAUCAAAACAUGUCCUCAUACAAUAUCGUUGUCGAAGUGUAUAAUGAUCUCCUGGUUCUGCUCAUUUCACUUA
Molecule: long non-coding RNA, 320 nt
Organism: Antechinus flavipes (yellow-footed antechinus)
Lineage: Eukaryota; Metazoa; Chordata; Mammalia; Dasyuromorphia; Dasyuridae
Exons: 2
Source: RefSeq, a predicted model, not a curated record